CAUAGGUAAUGGCUUGGUUAAGGGAACCCACCGGAGCCAUAGCGAAAGUGAGUCUUCAUAGGGCAAUUGUCACUGCUUAUGGACCCGAACUUGGGUGAUCUAUCCAUGACCAGGAUGAAGCUUGGGUGAAACUAAUGAAACUAAGUGGAGGUCCAAACCGACUGAUGUUGAAGAAUCAACGGAUAAGUUGUGGUUAGGGGUGAAAUGCCACUCGAACCCAGAGCUAGCUGG
This 231-nucleotide non-coding RNA is filed under the name Gossypium barbadense (sea-island cotton). Its description in RNAcentral is "Bacterial large subunit ribosomal RNA". It matches the Rfam family "Bacterial large subunit ribosomal RNA", at positions 629 to 852 of the family's 2925-position model. RNAcentral also lists the same sequence under 1 other name. Lineage: Eukaryota; Viridiplantae; Streptophyta; Magnoliopsida; Malvales; Malvaceae. The record is from Rfam by way of RNAcentral.